This 226-nucleotide unclassified non-coding RNA is filed under the name Hevea brasiliensis (rubber tree). The record is from RNAcentral. Lineage: Eukaryota; Viridiplantae; Streptophyta; Magnoliopsida; Malpighiales; Euphorbiaceae.
AAAAAAAAAAAUAAAAAAAAAAAGGAAAAAAAAAUAUUGACAGUAUGUAAAUUGCAUUAAUAUAAUGCUUGACUUUGAGGAAAACAUAAAAACAUCCAUUAAGGCUACAGAUGAAUUCAAGUUACAGAAAUUUCCUUGCAUAAUGAAGCUUAGGAACAGGUUUAUUGGUUCAGUAAUGAUUGAAAGAUGGAAACAGAAUCCAAACCUCUCCACCAAAGGGCGAAGU